AACGAACGCUGGCGGCAGGCCUAACACAUGCAAGUCGAGCGCCCCGCAAGGGGUGCGGCGGACGGGUGAGUAGCGCGUGGGGAUAUGCCCUUUGCUACGGACUAGUCUCGGGAAAGUGGUGGCAAUACCGUAUACGCCCUUUGGGGGAAUGGUUUAUCGGGCAAGGAUUAGGCCGUGUUGGAUUAGGUAGGUGGUGGGGUAAUCGCCCACCAAGGCGACGAGGCAUGGCUGGGUUGGGGUGAUGACAAACCACACUGGGACUGAGACACGGCCCAGACCGCUACGGGAGGGAGGAGUAGGGAAUCUUAGAGGAGGAGGGCUAACCUAGUCAAGCCAUGCCGGGUGAGUGAUGAAGGCCUUAGGGUUGUAAAGCUCUUUGAGCUGGGAAGAUAGUGACGGUACCAGCAGAAGAAGCACCGGCUAACUACGUG
RNAcentral lists this ribosomal RNA (431 nucleotides) under uncultured bacterium. RNAcentral's name for it is "partial 16S ribosomal RNA". It matches the Rfam family "Bacterial small subunit ribosomal RNA", at positions 29 to 507 of the family's 1533-position model. The record is from RNAcentral.